UGAGGAAUAUUGGUCAAUGGGCGAGAGCCUGAACCAGCCAAGUCGCGUGAAGGAAGACAGUCCUAAGGAUUGUAAACUUCUUUUAUACGGGAAUAACGGGCGAUACGAGUAUUGCAUUGAAUGUACCGUAAGAAUAAGCAUCGGCUAGCUCCGUGCCAGCAGCCGCGGUAAUACGGAGGAUGCGAGCGUUAUCCGGAUUUAUUGGGUUUAAAGGGUGCGUAGGUUGUUCGGUAAGUCAGCGGUGAAACCUGAGCGCUCAACGUUCAGCCUGCCGUUGAAACUGCCGGGCUUGAGUUCAGUGGCGGCAGGCGGAAUUCGUGGUGUAGCGGUGAAAUGCAUAGAUAUCACGAGGAACUCCGAUUGCGAAGGCAGCUUGCCAUACUGCGACUGACACUGAAGCACGAAGGCGUGGGUAUCAAACAGG
RNAcentral lists this ribosomal RNA (424 nucleotides) under Fusobacteriota bacterium. RNAcentral's name for it is "Fusobacteria bacterium partial 16S ribosomal RNA". It matches the Rfam family "Bacterial small subunit ribosomal RNA", at positions 355 to 776 of the family's 1533-position model. Lineage: Bacteria; Fusobacteriati; Fusobacteriota. The record is from RNAcentral.